Molecule: long non-coding RNA, 278 nt
Filed under: Phoenix dactylifera (date palm)
Lineage: Eukaryota; Viridiplantae; Streptophyta; Magnoliopsida; Arecales; Arecaceae
Description: long non-coding RNA (PDAC_LNC011424)
Source: RNAcentral
CUGAUGAGAGCACAAAAGUGCAAUCGUCAUACCAUUUUAAUUAGUAUUAUAGUUAAUCUUUAAUGAUAAAAUUAAUUAAUUAACGUUGUAUUUGUGUUUGAGUGCAAGGAAUCCAAGAGACCCAAUAACAUUGGGUUUGAGCCCAAUGCCCGGCAGCCCGAGCUCAACAAAUUCCCCAGCUGCCAUGCAUGCAUGAAAUCCCGGCCGUCCACGCCAUCAACGCAAUCAAACCAAGCAUCCCACUUCCCAAACCUGUUUCAUCAGGUUCAUCUCCAUAC